RNAcentral lists this microRNA precursor (163 nucleotides) under Oryza sativa Indica Group (long-grained rice). Its description in RNAcentral is "osa-MIR1882a". The stretch from base 18 to 148 matches the Rfam family "MIR1882 microRNA precursor family". Lineage: Eukaryota; Viridiplantae; Streptophyta; Magnoliopsida; Poales; Poaceae. The record is from RNAcentral.
UCUUUUAUCGUUACCAACAUCCUAGAUUGUUUUCAAGGUCAUUUCUUUAUGGAACCCCAUUCCCAUAAAUUCAGUAUCCAAAGAUGGUUGCUGUAUCUAUGGGAAUAAGGGUUCCAUAACGAAAUGAUCUUGGAUGCAAUCUAGGAGUUUGCUGAUGAUAACG